GACGAACGCUGGCGGCGUGCUUAACACAUGCAAGUCGAACGAAGUGGCGAACGGGAUAGUAACGCGUAAUCAACCUGCCCUUCAGAGGGGGACAACAACUGGAAACGACUGCUCAUACCGCAUACUGAAGGUGGGGAGUGCGUCUGAUUAGCUAGUUGGAGGGGGAACGGCCCACCAAGGCGAAGGUCAGUAGCCGGUGUGGGAGGAUGAACGGCGAAAUUGGGACUUAGACACGGCCCCAACUCCUACGGGAGGCAGGCGGUGGGAAUCUUUCGCAAUGGACGAAAGUCUUACGCAGCAACGCCGCGUGGGGGGUGACGGCCUUCGGGUUGGAAAGCUCUGUUAAGCGGGACGCGGUACCGAAAUAGAAAGCCACGGCUAACUACGUGCCAGCAGCCGCGGUAAUAC
This 408-nucleotide ribosomal RNA is filed under the name uncultured bacterium. RNAcentral's name for it is "partial 16S ribosomal RNA". It matches the Rfam family "Bacterial small subunit ribosomal RNA", at positions 28 to 526 of the family's 1533-position model. The record is from RNAcentral.